CCUACGGGGGGCAGCAGUGAGGAAUAUUGGUCAAUGGCCGAGAGUCUGAACCAGCCAAGUCGCGUGAGGGAAGACGGCCCUACGGGGUGUAAACCUCGUUUGUCGGGGAGCAAAGAGAGGCACGUGUGACGCAUUGAGAGUACCCGAAGAAAAAGCAUCGGCUAACUCCGUGCCAGCAGCCGCGGUAAUACGGAGGAUGCGAGCGUUAUCCGGAUUUAUUGGGUUUAAAGGGUGCGCAGGCGGAGGUGCAAGUCAGCGGUCAAAUUGCGGGGCUCAACCCCGUACUGCCGUUGAAACUGCAUCCCUUGAGUGCGCGAGACGUAUGCGGACUGCGUGGUGUAGCGGUGCAAUGCUUAGAUAUCACGC
This 366-nucleotide ribosomal RNA is filed under the name uncultured bacterium. RNAcentral's name for it is "partial 16S ribosomal RNA". It matches the Rfam family "Bacterial small subunit ribosomal RNA", at positions 338 to 702 of the family's 1533-position model. The record is from RNAcentral.